Molecule: ribosomal RNA, 489 nt
Filed under: uncultured bacterium
Lineage: Bacteria
Description: partial 16S ribosomal RNA
Rfam family: Bacterial small subunit ribosomal RNA
Source: RNAcentral
GAUGAACGCUAGCGGCAGGCUUAAUACAUGCAAGUCGUGGGGCAGCAUGACUGUGGCAAUACAGUUGCUGGCGACCGGCAAACGGGUGCGGAAUACGUACGCACCUUCCCCUGAACUGGGGAAUAGCCCGGGGAAACCUGGCUUAUUACGCAGACAUAUAGUGGGGUGGCAUCGCUUUAUUCUUAACGUCCUGGCGUAUCGGGAUGGGCGUGCGGCUGAUUAGGUAGUUGGUUGAGGUAACGACUCACCAAGCCUACGAUCAGUAACUGGUGUGAGAGCACGACCAGUCACACGGGCACUGAGACACGGGCCCGACUCCUACGGGAGGCAGCAGUAAGGAAUAUUGGGCAAUGGAGGCAACUCUGACCCAGCCAUGCCGCGUGGAGGAUGAAGGCCCUCUGGGUUGUAAACUUCUUUUAUAGGGGACGAAACCUGUGUAUUCUUACGCAGUUGACGGUACCCGAGGAAUAAGCACCGGCUAACUCCGUG